RNAcentral lists this ribosomal RNA (411 nucleotides) under Otostigmus sp. 1 TYC-2022a. RNAcentral's name for it is "partial small subunit ribosomal RNA". Lineage: Eukaryota; Metazoa; Arthropoda; Chilopoda; Scolopendromorpha; Scolopendridae. The record is from RNAcentral.
GUCUUUUUGAGUUACAUUAAAAGUCAAGCCUGCCCAAUGUUAAUAUAAAUGGCCGCGGUAUUUUGACCGUGCUAAGGUAGCAUAAUAAAUAGUCCAUUAAUUAUGGUCUGGAAUGAAAGGCUUAACAAAGAAUAACUUUUUUAAUCUUAAAUUUGAAUUUUAAUUAUUAGUAAAAAUGCUAAUGUARAAAAGAGGGACGAGAAGACCCUAUAGAGCUUUAUACAAAAAUUUAAUUUUUAGUACACCAUGAAUUAUUGUAUUUUGUUGGGGCGACAGUAAAUUAUAAACAUUUAGUGUAUUAUCUAGUAUAUUAGGAUAAAUGAUCCAUUAAUAAUGAUAUAAGAACAAGCUACCUUAGGGAUAACAGCGUAAUUUUAUUUUAGAGUCCCUAUCGACAAUAAAGAUUGCGAC